This 181-nucleotide small RNA is filed under the name Arabidopsis thaliana (thale cress). Its description in RNAcentral is "ATSL123590". Lineage: Eukaryota; Viridiplantae; Streptophyta; Magnoliopsida; Brassicales; Brassicaceae. The record is from RNAcentral.
AUGAUUAACAUUACAUGUAUCCUUAAUUUUAAGAGGGUUGAGAGCGUUUUAUCUAUUAACGAGACAUUUAGGAGAUUCAGAUGAUGGAAGAUCAGAGCAUCUACCAAAAAACUUUGCUUACUAAAAAGUAUUUAGGAAGCAAUGUUUUGGAAGUUUUACCUCAACAAUAUUUACGAAAAAG